Molecule: ribosomal RNA, 484 nt
Filed under: uncultured bacterium
Lineage: Bacteria
Description: partial 16S ribosomal RNA
Rfam family: Bacterial small subunit ribosomal RNA
Source: RNAcentral
AUUGAACGCUGGCGGCAGGCCUAACACAUGCAAGUCGAGCGGAUGAAGGGAGCUUGCUCCUGGAUUCAGCGGCGGACGGGUGAGUAAUGCCUACGAAUCUGCCUGGUAGUGGGGGAUAACGUCCGGAAACGGGCGCUAAUACCGCAUACGUCCUGAGGGAGAAAGUGGGGGAUCUUCGGACCUCACGCUAUCAGAUGAGCCUAGGUCGGAUUAGCUAGUUGGUGGGGUAAAGGCCUACCAAGGCGACGAUCCGUAACUGGUCUGAGAGGAUGAUCAGUCACACUGGAACUGAGACACGGUCCAGACUCAUACGGGAGGCAGCAGUGGGGAAUAUUGGACAAUGGGCGAAAGCCUGAUCCAGCCAUGCCGCGUGUGUGAAGAAGGUCUUCGGAUUGUAAAGCACUUUAAGUUGGGAGGAAGGGCAGUAAGUUAAUACCUUGCUGUUUUGACGUUACCAACAGAAUAAGCACCGGCUAACUUCGUG